This 1257-nucleotide long non-coding RNA is filed under the name Numida meleagris (helmeted guineafowl). Its description in RNAcentral is "lncRNA (ENSNMEG00000012867.1)". The record is from RNAcentral. Lineage: Eukaryota; Metazoa; Chordata; Aves; Galliformes; Numididae.
CAGCGCUUUGUAGAGUGGAGGGAGAGCUCUGCGCUGCGGGGAUGAGGGAGCCGCUCCACACCGCCCCGUCCCCGUGAGCACCGAGGGAAGGAGCCCCUCGCACGCAGGCCGAGGUGGCUCCAGGCUGGCCCAGCUCGGGCCCUUGUCCUGGUGCGAGCCGCUUGCGGAAGUUAUGGAACCUGUUUAAUUUUUUACCCACUCCUCCCUGGCCAUUCUGCUUGAUUUAAGUCCUGAUGUGCUUCUACACGCUAACUUUCAGAGCCAUUACAAAUCUUCUCCACAUGUGCCAGAAGGUUUCGGAAUUUUCCUGCGACUUCACCAUGGGAACUGCCAUUUCACCAGGAAUGAAUUUGACCCGCUGAGCAAUAAAGUGGAGGCAAAAAGCUCAUGCUCUAGGCAGACUGGGGGAAUUGCUUCUCUUUCUGUUGGCACGCUCUCCUUUGGCAUUUUUUUAACCAGCAAGAGCUACACGUUCACUCGACCUUCCUCCAAAUUCACCUUGAGAAAGAAACAGAGCUUUGAAAGUGUCGUUUUCCCAGCAACAGCUGCUGCUUUUAGCUUCCAACAGUCUUUAAAUCCAUAGAAGGCUAGUUUAUAUGGACAGGGAAGCAUUAAAUGCUAGGAAAUUAGGGUCUUUAGGUAACUAUUCCAGAUCUGCUAUAUCUGCAGUUACAGCAAUUGGUGGUGUAGGUGGUGUUCUUUUACUGGCUUUUAAUGAGACACAUUUAUUACUGCCUUGCGAUAAACCAAAGUAAAGCCAUAAAAGUGACUUUCAUUGAACAUUUGUUUGAGUUUUGCCUAAGUCUUAUAAAGCCCCGUUUGUUCAAAACUAGUUUUUGUUUUACAUGCCUUCUGCCACUUUGUGCAGCAGCUGUUAUCUCCUUCAAUACCUACAUAAAAUAAGCAUACCUGCCGUGAUGCAACAGAAACUUGUUCCAUGACUUGUAUGGGACAGAGUUUGUGUCCUUGCUCUUGGGAUAUCCAUCAUAAUCUAGUAAAUCCCUUGAGUAACCCCGCUGCUCCAUAUAACUGGGUAGAGUACAGAUUAGAAACUGCUUAUAUUUAUUUUUUAUAAUUUCAAAACAGUUGAAAAAGGUAACCACGUAGGUUGAUAUCUACUAAAAUUUUAAGAAUACCAGUGACCACUCCUUUGUCGAAAGGAGCGAAGUUCCAGUGGCUUCAGAAAUAUCUGUGGUAGCACAGAACCUUCAGUCAAAGUGUUGGGAUAAAAAUAAACAUGCUUCUCUAGGAUCUGCA